RNAcentral lists this ribosomal RNA (440 nucleotides) under uncultured bacterium. RNAcentral describes it as "partial 16S ribosomal RNA". It matches the Rfam family "Bacterial small subunit ribosomal RNA", at positions 338 to 795 of the family's 1533-position model. The record is from RNAcentral.
CCUACGGGUGGCAGCAGUAGGGAAUAUUGCUCAAUGGGGGCAACCCUGAUGCAGCAACGCCGCGUGGAGGAUGAAGGUUUUCGGAUUGUAAACUCCUUUUGUUAGAGAAGAUAAUGACUGUGUCGAUCGAAUAAUCACCGGCUAACUCCGUGCCAGCAGCAGCGGUAAUACGAAGGGUGCAAGCGUGACUCGGAAUCACUGGUCGUAAAGAGCGCGUAGGCGGGAUAGCAAGUCAGAUGUGAAAUCCUAUGUCUUAACCAUAGAACUGCAUUUGAAAGUGUUAUACUAGAGUAUGGGAGGGGUAGGUGGAAUUCCUGGUGUAGGGGUAAAAUCCGUAGAGAUCAAGAGGAAUACUCAUUGCGAAGGCGACCUGCUAGAACAUAACUGACGCUGAUGCGCGAAAGCGUGGGGAGCAAACAGGAUUAGAUACCCGAGUAGUC